GCUUGGAACAAUUUGUUGCUGGUAGUGCUGCACGGACUAACGCGGUUGACUCAAUUGCAUAUUGUUUUCACUAGAAAGAAUUAAUGGAAGAGAUGUCUCCAGCUGUUGCUGUUACACUCAGCUUAAGCAGCUCUAUCUGUGAUAACCCUGCAAUUUCGAACCAUGUAGAAAUCACAAGGCUCAAAUUAGUGACUGACACAGCUAGCUUACUUUCAGAUCCUACAUCUUUGUUGCAUGCUGAGUCAAAUACCAGUUGGGAUGGAAAAAGCAACGGUAUGAAAGUUGAUGUUGGUAGAGUUCCCUUGUUGACCCUAGGAGAAAGCUCUGGAAAAUGUAGUCUGCCGCAGACUGUAUUGGGAGCUGAAAAUGGCCUGAUUGUUAGCGAUAGCAUCAUUCAGGGAAGUGAUGAAGAUGAGAUUUUAUCUGUUGGAGAGGAUCCAUGUGGAAUUAAUGGCGAGGAGUUGUUGCCACUGGGCGCUAGCUUGCAGUUGAGCUUGCCAAUUGCUGUUGAAAUUGAGGGUAUUGACAAUGGACAAAUAGUUGCCAAGGUCAUAAGUUUGGAAGAAAGGAGUUUAGAUAGAAAGGUUAGUAAUACCAUAGUUGCUCUUCCAGAUGAUGAAAUUACUAGUGGCCCUACACUUAAGGCAUCUGUAGUGGCCCUUCCAUUGCCCAGUGAGAAGGAGCCUGUCAAAGAAAGUGUCAAGAGUGUGUUUGAAUUGGAAUGUGUGCCACUCUGGGGUUCUGUAUCUAUCUGUGGAAAGAGACCGGAGAUGGAGGAUGCUCUUGUGGUUGUUCCUAAUUUCAUGAAAAUUCCUAUCAAGAUGUUUAUUGGUGAUCGUGUAAUUGAUGGACUAAGUCAAAGUUUGAGUCACCUGACAUCUCAUUUCUAUGGAGUAUAUGAUGGUCAUGGAGGAUCUCAGGUUGCGGAUUAUUGCCGUAAACGUGUUCAUCUAGCAUUAGUUGAGGAAUUAAAACUUCCCAAACAUGAUUUGGUGGAUGGAAGUGUAAGGGAUACCCGGCAGGUGCAGUGGGAGAAGGUUUUUACUAAUUGCUUUCUCAAGGUUGAUGAUGAAGUUGGAGGAAAGGUCAUAGAUCUCUGUGAUGACAACAUUAAUGCCUCUAGCUGCACCUCUGAGCCUAUAGCUCCAGAAACUGUUGGGUCCACCGCAGUUGUAGCGGUGAUUUGUUCAUCUCAUAUUAUAGUUGCUAACUGUGGGGAUUCAAGAGCAGUCCUUUAUCGUGGCAAAGAAGCAGUGGCAUUGUCAAUCGAUCACAAACCAAGCAGAGAAGAUGAGUAUGCCAGAAUUGAAGCAUCUGGUGGUAAGGUCAUUCAGUGGAAUGGACAUCGUGUAUUUGGCGUUCUUGCAAUGUCAAGAUCUAUUGGUGACAGAUAUUUGAAACCAUGGAUAAUACCUGAACCAGAAGUUAUGUUUGUACCACGUGCUAGAGAAGAUGAAUGCCUAGUUUUAGCCAGUGACGGUUUGUGGGAUGUGAUGACGAAUGAAGAAGCUUGUGAAAUGGCUAGACGGCGAAUUCUGCUGUGGCACAAAAAGAACGGGACUAACCCUCUGCCUGAAAGGGGCCAGGGAGUGGAUCUUGCUGCACAAGCAGCAGCGGAGUAUCUUUCAUCGAUGGCUCUUCAGAAAGGCAGCAAAGACAAUAUAUCCGUGAUUGUGGUGGACCUUAAAGCUCACAGGAAGUUCAAAAGCAAAAGUUAGAGAUGACAUGUUCACUACAUUUGGUUUAGUAUAAAUCUGUACACGGCGACGGGUAUAAAUCUCAUUAUUACAUAACUCAGUCCAUUAAUUUUUCCUAUGGGCUUAAGGUGUGUGUAUGAGAAUAGUAUUUUAGCAAUGUAUUAUAGAAGAAAAAACAGUUGACAAACGACGUUUAUCCAAAUUUUUUGGUGUUUGUUGCGCCAGAAAAUGGCUAUGUAAAUUGAGCAUGUUGUAGCAAAUAUCAGAAAUGCAAUUUCUUACUUCU
Molecule: unclassified non-coding RNA, 1983 nt
Filed under: Hevea brasiliensis (rubber tree)
Lineage: Eukaryota; Viridiplantae; Streptophyta; Magnoliopsida; Malpighiales; Euphorbiaceae
Source: RNAcentral